CAAAUAUGAAAACAAAAUGUUACCUUUCUUUAAUGACAGACAUGCUUUAAGAAAAAGCUCCAAUCAAUCAAAACAAUGCAUUAAAUAGUCAAAUCGACGGUUAACAAAAGUUGUUGACUUUUUUACAUCAGCAUUUAUUAAUGGUCAUUUUUCAGAUGUUUCUACCGAUUAAGAGCUGCAGCACAUCAACAUAAUCCUGCAGAGUGUGUUGUGCUUUGAUAUAAGUGACUGUAAAUGUUGUUCUGCACAGAACUCUUCCUGGCUGAGACACUGAGAAGAAUCAUGGAAAACCUGAAGGAGAAUGUUAAUCCUGACUCGGAGCCGAGACCAAAGAGAACGAUUGGUACACAAGCAGCCACCACAAAAGAGCCUUGUUGAGCUCCAAACAAAUGCUUCAUUCUUCAGGGAUUCAACAAACAAAGAUUUACAUGGUACAGCAACUACAAAGAACACAUCCAGACCUUUUUUCUGUUGACUGAAAAGCAGGAAGGAAAUUUUUUUUUACGUGGACAGAGCAGAAAAAGAAGAGAAAAUUGUCUUUUUUACUAAAUGAGACAUGGAAACUGGCUCUUUUAUUCCCAAUUAUCCAGGACUCAGAGUAGAGGGAGGUGCAAAAACACCUCGGGUAUCGGAGGUCUUUGGUGGAAACACACCUGACGUCUUUCAGAUGGCGGAUGAAAGUGAUUCUAGGUCAGACGAGAUGGGAGAUGAUUCGGUUUUCUACAGUGACGAGGAGCAAGAACAGAAGGACAGACUUGCUUUCCUGUCAAGUCAUUUUGGUGUCAAAAGGUGCAGACAACUUGUCAACAGUGUAGCAGAAGGUGAACCUGUUCAACACAUUGAGGAGGAUCCAGGAGAAGUCUUUAUUAACCAUGAAAGCUUGGAAAAGCAGGCCAUGUGGACUAAAGAGGAAUUCCACAGCCUCCACAUGUUAUCCUCUCACAAAAUCAAUGCUCUACAGCCAGGAGAAGCACCUGCUGAAUUUACCAAAACGUUUCCUACAUCUUGGAAAGAUGUUCAACAGCAACAGUGCACAGAGGUGGACACACGAACCGAGCAUGAUAAAGAUGCUCCAGAAGAAAAGGUGAAUUUACAAGCUUUGAUAUCUUCCCGCAACCUGUUAAAUCCAUUUAAUGAGAAGAGCCAACAUCUGCCAAAAGCUGAAACACAGUGGCGUGGAAACAGACAGCUUCAGCAGGACUCGGAAAUGGAGCAAAUUCUUCAAACUCAUCCGCAGUUUCCUCAGAACCCCAACCCGAGCCCCUCUACUCUGCCUUCCCUGAAGAAAUCCGGCGGCUUCAAUCACCUAACCUCCUCCAAAUACAGCACCGGGUCCUACCGCAGGAUCUGCAAAGGCAACACCCAGCAGAAAAUAAAAGACUAUGAGAUCAAGUUGAGAAAAAAGUGA
This 1408-nucleotide long non-coding RNA is filed under the name Oryzias sinensis (Chinese medaka). Its description in RNAcentral is "lncRNA (ENSOSIG00000012051.1)". Lineage: Eukaryota; Metazoa; Chordata; Actinopteri; Beloniformes; Adrianichthyidae. The record is from RNAcentral.